GACGAACGCUGGCGGCGUGCUUAACACAUGCAAGUCGAACGGAAAGGCCCUGCUUUUGUGGGGUGCUCGAGUGGCGAACGGGUGAGUAACACGUGAGUAACCUGCCCUUGACUUUGGGAUAACUUCAGGAAACUGGGGCUAAUACCGGAUAGGAGCUCCUGCUGCAUGGUGGGGGUUGGAAAGUUUCGGCGGUUGGGGAUGGACUCGCGGCUUAUCAGCUUGUUGGUGGGGUAGUGGCUUACCAAGGCUUUGACGGGUAGCCGGCCUGAGAGGGUGACCGGCAACAUUGGGACGGAGAUACGGCCCAGACUCCUACGGGAGGAAGCAGGGGGGAAUAUUGCACAAUGGGCGGAAGCCUGAUGCAGCAACGCCGCGUGCGGGAUGACGGCCUUCGGGUUGUAAACCGCUUUCGCCUGUGACGAAGCGUGAGUGACGGUAAUGGGUAAAGAAGCACCGGCUAACUACGUG
This 468-nucleotide ribosomal RNA is filed under the name uncultured bacterium. Its description in RNAcentral is "partial 16S ribosomal RNA". It matches the Rfam family "Bacterial small subunit ribosomal RNA", at positions 28 to 507 of the family's 1533-position model. The record is from RNAcentral.